AUGACAUUGUUUUUGACAGAAGGCAAAAUGCAGCGGAACAGAAACAGCUCUGCCUGUAAUGAACAGAGGGUGGAACAAAAACGAUGCCUUCUUACAGAGACAGGGAAGGCAUUGUAUGUGAGGGGGAAAAAACCUGUGAAUUUUUGCAAGCCCCCAACCAUUCCACUUCAUUUCCACCCUCAAGAAGCAUUCACCUCCAAAUGGCUCUGUGGGUCACAGAAGCCCACCUGCCAAAGUUACAUCCCAGUGCUCCGGGUCUGCUUAAGCUGCAGCUGCACAAGGAGAGAUGUUCAUGUUCCAGUGGCUGAAGCUAAUGCCACUGCUGAAAAGAAAACAGAAAUGUUGUGGUGUAUGGUGGUCCAGUGAUGUAUGGAAGUGAGAGCUGGACCAUAAAUAAGGCUGAUCGCCGAAGAAUUGAUGCUUUUGGAUUAUGGUGCUGGAGGAGACUCUUGAGAGUCCCAUGGACUGCAAGAAGAUCAAACCUCUCCAUUCUGAAGGAAAUCAGCCCUGAGUGCUUACUGGAAGGACAGAUCCCGAAGCUGAGGCUCCAAUACUUUGGCCACCUCAUGAGAAGAGAAGACUCCCUGGAAACGACCCUGAUGUUGGAAAGAUGGAGGGCACAAGGAGAAGGGGAUGACAGAGGACGAGAUGGUUGGACAGUGUUCUCGAAGCUACCAACAUGAGUUUGACCAAACUGCGGGAGGUAGUGGAAGACAGGAGGGCCUGGCGUGCUCUGGUCCAUGGGGUCACGAAGAGUCAGACACGACUAAACGACUAAACAACAACAACAUGGUGGUCCCAAUGCUUCUGGAACCUCGUUCCUCAAGAUUUACAGGUGGCCAUUUUGAAAUCCGCUUCUGAUCAUUCUUCAUCUAUCAUGCCGGCCUAAGGAAGUGGUGUGUAUUCUCGCAGCAUCACGUUGUAUAUUCUUGAAAAAUUCUCAACCUACAAGAACCCUUUGUCCCAGAGCAUGUGCAUUCACGUACUGCGUCAUGAUACUUCGACCCAAACCUGCACCAUUCUUCCCUGCAAACACACAUGCUUGAGAACCAAUAGUCAAGCAACUGUUCCCCUCAUCAAGCGCAUCUUCUUUGAUGUUAACAGGCAAAGAAAGACAGACAUAAGGGGGCUGGCUCUGACCAUUCCCCACCUACCCCUGCUACUCAUAGAGGCUCACCUGGGGUUCUAGAACCCUGGAUUUUCAAGAGGUCUGAAAGGCAGAGGGAAUAUCCAGAAAUAGAGGAGACUCUCAACUUCAGAAGUUUGUCCUAUGGAUUGUGAAGAGCAACCAGAAUUGUCAUGCGGUCAAUGCUAACACACACAUCCCCACUCUUUCCUUUCAUGCACUAACAGCAGAGAACGUUAAUAAAACAAGAGAAUCUAUGUUGCAAUGAAAAUGUAACUUUAUUUAUCGGUUGUUCACCCUUCCUCUGAAGGAGCCCAGGUCAAUGCACAUUGUACAUGUAAGCAAAACACAAUAAGCAUGGCUGAAAACAAAUGUAAAAUAAAAAUUUGUGCAAUGAGUCCCCCCACACUUGGUUUCCCCCCUCCCUCUCCAAAUCUGCUCCGGAAGUUUGGGAGAAGAAUGCCUUAGAAUGAUGCUGAAUUCUACCAUAGAAUCAUAGAACUGUAGAGUUGGAAGGGACCACAGCGAUCAUCUAGUCUAACCCCCUGAAAUGCAGGGAUCCUUUCCCCAAUGUGUGGCUCGAAUCCAUGACCUUGCAAACAAGAGUCUCAUGUUCUACCAACUGAGCUAUCCCAUGGGCAACAAGUCAUUAAAACACAUUUAUGCAUACACUAUUGCCGAAAUACUCAGCGUUCAAAAAUAUACUGUGUCUCUGUUUAAAGUGAAAAAUAAAACACCAUUGUGUGGAUAAAUAGGAACUCUCUGAAAACUGGAUGGGCAGAUCUCCAAUGCUCAAAUUCAAGAAAUAGAGACCAAGAUUGAAUUCCCCCAGCUGGUUUCACACAUACCUAGUCUCUCAAUCUGCAGGGCAUGGUGGUGAUAGGUGCCCUGUGAUUUAUUGUUUUAAAUCCCCGCUAGUAUUUGGUACACCACCUCUGAACAUAGGCACCAUGGCCAUAAUGCAGCAUCAUGCAUAAUCAGUUGCACAUG
RNAcentral lists this long non-coding RNA (2116 nucleotides) under Podarcis muralis (Common wall lizard). Its description in RNAcentral is "lncRNA (ENSPMRG00000018153.1)". The record is from RNAcentral. Lineage: Eukaryota; Metazoa; Chordata; Lepidosauria; Squamata; Lacertidae.